UUUCCUUUAGUCAGCAUUAGGGUUCUAAACCCUAAACUGAACUUUUUCAUUUAGUCAGCAUUAGGGUUUUAAACCCUGAACUCUUUCCUUUAGUCAGCAUUAGGGUUUUAAACCCUAAACUGAACUUUUUCCCUGUAAUCAGCAUUAGGGUUUUAAACCCUAAACUGAACUUUCUCUGUAGUCAGCAUUAGGGUUUUAAACCCUAAACUGAACUCUUUCCUUCAGUCAGCAUUAGGGUUUUAAAACCCUAAACUGAACUUUUUCCUUUAGUCAGCAUUAGGGUUUUAAACCCUAACCUGAACUCUUUCCUUCAGUCAGCAUUAGGGUUUUAAACCCUAAACUGAACUCUUUCCUUCAGUCAGCAUUAGGGUUUUAUAACCCUAAACUGAACUUUUUCCUUUAGUCAGCAUUAGGGUUUUAAAAACUAAACUGAACUCUUUCCUUCAGUCAACAUUAGGGUUUUAAACCCUAAACUGAACUUUUUUCCUUUAGUCAGCAUUAGGGUUUUAAACCCUAAACUGAACUUUUCCCAUUUAGUCAGCAUUAGGGUUUUAAACCCCUAAACUUUUCCCAUUUAGUCAGCAUUAGGGUUUUAAACCCUAAACUGAACUUUU
RNAcentral lists this long non-coding RNA (614 nucleotides) under Nicotiana tabacum (common tobacco). RNAcentral describes it as "long non-coding RNA (NTAB_LNC012199)". Lineage: Eukaryota; Viridiplantae; Streptophyta; Magnoliopsida; Solanales; Solanaceae. The record is from RNAcentral.